This 253-nucleotide ribosomal RNA is filed under the name uncultured bacterium. Its description in RNAcentral is "partial 16S ribosomal RNA". It matches the Rfam family "Bacterial small subunit ribosomal RNA", at positions 524 to 776 of the family's 1533-position model. The record is from RNAcentral.
UACGUAGGGGGCAAGCGUUGUCCGGAAUCAUUGGGCGUAAAGCGCGUGUAGGCGGCCCGGUAAGUCCGCUGUGAAAGUCGGGGGCUCAACCCUCGAAUGCCGGUGGAUACUGUCGGGCUAGAGUACGGAAGAGGCGAGUGGAAUUCCUGGUGUAGCGGUGAAAUGCGCAGAUAUCAGGAGGAACACCGGUGGCGAAGGCGGGUCUCUGGGCCGAUACUGACGCUGAGGAGCGAAGGUCAGGGGAGCAAACGGG